This 641-nucleotide ribosomal RNA is filed under the name uncultured fungus. Its description in RNAcentral is "eukaryotic LSU rRNA". The stretch from base 233 to 386 matches the Rfam family "5.8S ribosomal RNA". The record is from RNAcentral. Lineage: Eukaryota; Fungi.
AGUAAAAGUCGUAACAAGGUUUCCGUAGGUGAACCUGCGGAAGGAUCAUUAAAGAGUAAGGGUGCUCGCCGCCCGACCUCCAACCCUCUGUUGUUAAAACUACCUUGUUGCUUUGGCGGGACCGCUCGGUCUCGAGCCGCAGGGGCUUCGGCCCAGGCGAGCGCCCGCCAGAGUUAAACCAAACUCUUGUUUAUAUAACCGGUCGUCUGAGCAAAAAUUUUGAAUAAACCAAAACUUUCAACAACGGAUCUCUUGGUUCUCGCAUCGAUGAAGAACGCAGCGAAAUGCGAUAAGUAAUGUGAAUUGCAGAAUUCAGUGAAUCAUCGAAUCUUUGAACGCACAUUGCGCCCCUUGGUAUUCCGAGGGGCAUGCCUGUUCGAGCGUCAUUACACCACUCAAGCACUGCUUGGUAUUGGGCCCCGUCCCCCUCCGCGGGGGGCGCGCCUCAAAGACCUCGGCGAGGCCUCACCGGCUUUAGGCGUAGUAGAAUUCUUUCGAACGUCUUUAAAAGGGGAGGACUUCUGCCGACAGAAGCCUUUAAUUUUUCUAAGGUUGACCUCGGAUCAGGUAGGGAUACCCGCUGAACUUAAGCAUAUCAAUAAGCGGAGGAAAAGAAACCAACAGGGAUUGCCUCAGUAACG